ACCAGCGGAGGGAUCAUUAUCGAGUUUACAACUCCCAAACCCUUAUGUGAACAUACCUACUGUUGCUUCGGCGGACUCGCCCCGGCGUCCGGACGGCCUCGCGCCGCCCGCGGCCCGGACCCAGGCGGCCGCCGGAGACCCCCAAACUCUGUAUUAUCAGCAUUUUCUGAAUCCGCCGCAAGGCAAAACAAAUGAAUCAAAACUUUCAACAACGGAUCUCUUGGUUCUGGCAUCGAUGAAGAACGCAGCGAAAUGCGAUAAGUAAUGUGAAUUGCAGAAUUCAGUGAAUCAUCGAAUCUUUGAACGCACAUUGCGCCCGCCAGCAUUCUGGCGGGCAUGCCUGUUCGAGCGUCAUUUCAACCCUCGACUUCCCUUUGGGGAAAUCGGCGUUGGGGAACGGCAGCAUACCGCCGGCCCCGAAAUGAAGUGGCGGCCCGUCCGCGGCGACCUCUGCGUAGUAAUCCAACUCGCACCGGAACCCCGACGUGGCCACGCCGUAAAACACCCAACUUCUGAACGUUGACCUCGGAUCAGGUAGGAAUACCCGCUGAACUUAAGCAUAUCAAUAAGCGGAGGAAAAGAAACCAACAGGGAUUGCCCCAGUAACGGCGAGUGAAGCGGCAACAGCUCAAAUUUGAAAUCUGGCCCUUGGGUCCGAGUUGUAAUUUGUAGAGGAUGCUUUUGGCGAGGUGCCUUCCGAGUUCCCUGGAACGGGACGCCAUAGAGGGUGAGAGCCCCGUCUGGUCGGACACCGAGCCUCUGUAAAGCUCCUUCGACGAGUCGAGUAGUUUGGGAAUGCUGCUCAAAAUGGGAGGUAUAUGUCUUCUAAAGCUAAAUAUUGGCCAGAGACCGAUAGCGCACAAGUAGAGUGAUCGAAAGAUGAAAAGCACUUUGAAAAGAGGGUUAAAAAGUACGUGAAAUUGUUGAAAGGGAAGCGCCUAUGACCAGACUUGGGCCCGGUGAAUCAUCCAGCGUUCUCGCUGGUGCACUUUGCCGGGCACAGGCCAGCAUCAGUUUGGCGCGGGGGAAAAAGGCUUUGGGAAUGUGGCUCCCUCGGGAGUGUUAUAGCCCAUUGUGUAAUACCCUGCGCCGGACUGAGGUACGCGCAUUGCAAGGAUGCUGGCGUAAUGGUCAUCAGCGAC
Molecule: small RNA, 1142 nt
Filed under: Akanthomyces attenuatus
Lineage: Eukaryota; Fungi; Ascomycota; Sordariomycetes; Hypocreales; Cordycipitaceae
Description: eukaryotic LSU rRNA
Rfam family: Eukaryotic large subunit ribosomal RNA (bases 521-1142)
Source: RNAcentral